AGCGCAGACGGUUAUUUAAGCAAGAUGUGAAAGCCCCGGGCUCAACCUGGGAACUGCGUUUUGAACUGGGUAACUAGAGUGUGUCAGAGGGGGGUAGAAUUCCACGUGUAGCAGUGAAAUGCGUAGAGAUGUGGAGGAAUACCGAUGGCGAAGGCAGCCCCCUGGGAUAACACUGACGCUCAUGCUCGAAAGCGUGGUAGCAAACA
Molecule: ribosomal RNA, 206 nt
Filed under: uncultured bacterium
Lineage: Bacteria
Description: partial 16S ribosomal RNA
Rfam family: Bacterial small subunit ribosomal RNA
Source: RNAcentral